This 705-nucleotide long non-coding RNA is filed under the name Equus asinus (donkey). RNAcentral's name for it is "lncRNA (ENSEASG00005030294.1)". The record is from RNAcentral. Lineage: Eukaryota; Metazoa; Chordata; Mammalia; Perissodactyla; Equidae.
AUGUUUCAUGUCGAUUAGGAGGUUCAUGGCUUAAAUUUAAAGUGAGACCAUUCAACAAGUUUGCAGGCUUGUUUCCAGCCCUGGUUGUCUGCUGUACCUCCCAGCACCUCAACCUCCAAUAUUCAGCCUAAGCUGCCGCCAUCACCACCACCACCUCAGCCUUCCAGUGUGCUCAGUGUCUUCCCGAUUCUGUGACUGGAAGGAAGGUAAGGAACAAAUGAAGCAAGUGUCUGGAGAAGACGGUUUCAGAUACAGAAAGCAGCAGACGCAAAUCUCUGAGCAGGACCUUGUUCAUGGAUGCCAGAACAUGCUGGAGUCUCUAGUAGCUGGAGAAGAGCCUGUGGGUUGCCUCUUCACUCUGUUGAUUAUUUCCUUUGCUGCGCAGAAGCUUUUUCCUUUGAGAAAUCAACGUUGCAGAUUGCCGUGGUGUUUUUCCUAGAUCUCCCAACGAGACGGAGAGCCCCAGUUGUCUAGUUUCUGAGAAAGUUGAUGGAUGACAAUUUUAAUCGAAGUCCUUCUCCAGGAACUGUCGUCAGGCCCCUCUCCAGGGCAGUCUGUAGCCCAUAAGUGUUUGAGCACAAUAUUUGCUUUAUCACAAAAUGUUCAGCAUAAUUUUUCUCCCUCCCACACUGGAAGAAUUUUAAAACUGAUAAUAGCCAAGAACAGAAUGGCUCUUGAAACAGAGCUGGAGAUCCAUAUAAGGUA